RNAcentral lists this ribosomal RNA (1293 nucleotides) under Salmonella enterica subsp. enterica. RNAcentral's name for it is "partial 23S ribosomal RNA". It matches the Rfam family "Bacterial large subunit ribosomal RNA", at positions 685 to 1874 of the family's 2925-position model. The record is from RNAcentral. Lineage: Bacteria; Pseudomonadati; Pseudomonadota; Gammaproteobacteria; Enterobacterales; Enterobacteriaceae.
UAAUUGGGCGUUAAGUUGCAGGGUAUAGACCCGAAACCCGGUGAUCUAGCCAUGGGCAGGUUGAAGGUUGGGUAACACUAACUGGAGGACCGAACCGACUAAUGUUGAAAAAUUAGCGGAUGACCUGUGGCUGGGGGUGAAAGGCCAAUCAAACCGGGAGAUAGCUGGUUCUCCCCGAAAGCUAUUUAGGUAGCGCCUCGUGAAUUCAUCUCCGGGGGUAGAGCACUGUUUCGGCUAGGGGGCCAUCCCGGCUUACCAACCCGAUGCAAACUGCGAAUACCGGAGAAUGUUAUCACGGGAGACACACGGCGGGUGCUAACGUCCGUCGUGAAGAGGGAAACAACCCAGACCGCCAGCUAAGGUCCCAAAGUCAUGGUUAAGUGGGAAACGAUGUGGGAAGGCCCAGACAGCCAGGAUGUUGGCUUAGAAGCAGCCAUCAUUUAAAGAAAGCGUAAUAGCUCACUGGUCGAGUCGGCCUGCGCGGAAGAUGUAACGGGGCUAAACCAUGCACCGAAGCUGCGGCAGCGAACGUAUCACCCAAGACAACUUUACGGAGUUGACGAUUGACGGAGCGAAGCGACGUCAAAGCGUUCAUUAAAGUCGAGUUGGCUUAGGGAUACGUUCGUUGGGUAGGGGAGCGUUCUGUAAGCCUGUGAAGGUGUGUCGUGAGGCAUGCUGGAGGUAUCAGAAGUGCGAAUGCUGACAUAAGUAACGAUAAAGCGGGUGAAAAGCCCGCUCGCCGGAAGACCAAGGGUUCCUGUCCAACGUUAAUCGGGGCAGGGUGAGUCGACCCCUAAGGCGAGGCCGAAAGGCGUAGUCGAUGGGAAACGGGUUAAUAUUCCCGUACUUGGUGUUACUGCGAAGGGGGGACGGAGAAGGCUAUGUUGGCCGGGCGACGGUUGUCCCGGUUUAAGCGUGUAGGUGUGUGUUCCAGGUAAAUCCGGUUCACUUUAACACUGAGGCGUGACGACGAGGCACUACGGUGCUGAAGCAACAAAUGCCCUGCUUCCAGGAAAAGCCUCUAAGCAUCAGGUAACAUCAAAUCGUACCCCAAACCGACACAGGUGGUCAGGUAGAGAAUACCAAGGCGCUUGAGAGAACUCGGGUGAAGGAACUAGGCAAAAUGGUGCCGUAACUUCGGGAGAAGGCACGCUGACACGUAGGUGAAGUGAUUUACUCAUGGAGCUGAAGUCAGUCGAAGAUACCAGCUGGCUGCAACUGUUUAUUAAAAACACAGCACUGUGCAAACACGAAAGUGGACGUAUACGGUGUGACGCCUGCCCGGUGCCGGAA